Molecule: transfer RNA, 88 nt
Filed under: Acidobacteriota bacterium
Lineage: Bacteria; Pseudomonadati; Acidobacteriota
Description: Acidobacteria bacterium tRNA-OTHER
Rfam family: tRNA
About the family: Transfer RNA (tRNA) molecules are approximately 80 nucleotides in length. Their secondary structure includes four short double-helical elements and three loops (D, anti-codon, and T loops).
Source: RNAcentral
GCCGAAGUGGCGGAACCGGCAGACGCGCGGCGUCGAGAGCGUCGUGGGAAACAUUUCCAUGGAGGUUCAAAUCCUCCCAUCCGCACCA